Molecule: ribosomal RNA, 552 nt
Filed under: Suhomyces sp. DG-2024a
Lineage: Eukaryota; Fungi; Ascomycota; Pichiomycetes; Serinales; Debaryomycetaceae
Description: partial 26S ribosomal RNA
Rfam family: Eukaryotic large subunit ribosomal RNA
Source: RNAcentral
AUUGCCUCAGUAACGGCGAGUGAAGCGGCAAAAGCUCAAAUUUGAAAUCUGGCGCCCGCCCGAAUUGUAAUUUGAAGAAGCGACUUUGGACCUGGCUCUUGUCUAAGUUCCUUGGAACAGGACGUCAUAGAGGGUGAGAAUCCCGUUAGAUGAGAUGCCCAGGGCCGUGUAAAGCGUUUUCGACGAGUCGAGUUGUUUGGGAAUGCAGCUCUAAGUGGGUGGUAAAUUCCAUCUAAAGCUAAAUAUUGGCGAGAGACCGAUAGCGAACAAGUACAGUGAUGGAAAGAUGAAAAGAACUUUGAAAAGAGAGUGAAAAAGUACGUGAAAUUGUUGAAAGGGAAGGGCUUGUGAUCAGACUUUGCAUUUCUAUGGCUUCCUUUCGGGGGGGUCCUCUGGAGUUGUAGGGCCAGCAUGGGUUGGAGGGGUGAGAUAAUGGGGAAGGAAUGUGGCUCUGCCUCGGUAGAGUGUUAUAUCCUUUUCUGAUGUCACCACCUUCGACCGAGGACUGCGGUACUAGGAUGCUGGCAUAAUGAUUAUAAGCCGCCCGUCUUG